Molecule: long non-coding RNA, 1985 nt
Organism: Dunckerocampus dactyliophorus (ringed pipefish)
Lineage: Eukaryota; Metazoa; Chordata; Actinopteri; Syngnathiformes; Syngnathidae
Exons: 5
Source: RefSeq, a predicted model, not a curated record
GUUCGUUUACAGAAGCGGCACCACCCUUCUCAAAGGAAAGUUGGGUUGUUUCACUUAUCCAACGCUUCAGAACUAAUGUGUCAUAUUUCAGGAGGGCGUGUCUGUCUGCUUGACUCAUCUCACACAGGUAAGGAGUGAACGUUACAUUCGCUGACACACACAACAAUUUGUUCACAUUAUUAUCUCGGAGAGUAGAGGAUUGUUUAUAUACAUACUGUAUGUGCUCACGAUUGUAUGCAAUCCCACCAUAAAAUGUCUUUUUCAGAUAGGAGGCGCUAUCAGGAUAGCACUUCCGCAUAGUUGUGACGUCAUGAUCAGUGUGUCGCCCGUGAUCACUGCUCUGGAGGGCUUUCCCACCAUGGAUCGAUUUCCCACUGACCUUUAGGUCGGACACGGCCGCACGAGCGUCAAGACCUGCCAUCAUCAUCAGGAGCGCUGACAGGAAGGAGACUGGUGCAGCACCCAGAAAGACGCAUAAGGUGCAGAGAGGCAGUAAGAAGAAGAUGUCUGCAGGGCAGAUGUUAAACACACUGUGACUGAGGUGAGGCAGGACAAGUCAGCACCACUGUCAGCGCAGCACAAGACACUCACAAGGUGGAGGCAGGAGGAAUUACACCAGCACAUAAGACACCAAGAAAUGUGGAAAACGAAGCGGUUCUUCGGCUUAAAUUCAAGCUGGCAGUCUUCAACCAUCACGUUUGUCCAUCAAGCAGUCGGGUACCUGUCUGUCAAAAGGUAACGUGAGAGCAGCUUGCAGCUUGCCUGGACAUGAGGCCUCAGAAAUCCUGCUGCUGUGAAAGUGAUCCAAUCAGCCCACACAGACGUGGGUAGCAAUCAAUGGGGAUGCACACUGGGGCCCCUGGCGAGAGAGACCGAAGCCAUCUGGAUAUGUUAGCAGGCUGACAGAGGAGGCCCACUGUGCAGGUAUACAGUGGAGGUGGAGUGGGCUGAGAUGUUGCCAGGGCUGGUGGUAACACACACAGAAUCCUACACGCUCCUUAUGAUGGCAGAAUGCCUCUGUAAACAUCUGUCAGCCAUUGCUUCUCCCCCCCCCUCUAUAGACCUCAGCAAUUCAGCAUGCCCUUUGACCUUCAACUGAAGAAAGAGCAACUGUGAGCUUGUACCAAAAUCAAACAUACAAGAAGAGCUUGUAUGUGGAUGAAUUAGUCUCUAUGGUUAGCAACUGAGACAACUACAGCUCGUGGUGAUAAUUGCACAGAUGUUUUCUUUGAAUUAUAAAUCACAUUCACCGAGGUUUGGAUUACAAGUAAUGUUGCCUGUGAAAUUAAAUAUUUCUCUGUUUGUGAGUUUAGUUCAUAAGACUAGAGUCUAAUCAUUAGACAAUUGAAGGUUUGAUCCACGAUAAUCUAAGCCCCUCUACAGACCCCCAAGACUAUAGUACCAUAGACUAGACGACAUAGACCAGAGACCCUCAUCAGUCUCUCUCGCUGCUUCCCCUCUGGAGCCUCAGGUUUCCCUUCCAUGCCUCCCUCCUCCCCUGCUCCCAGCAAGCCUCCGCAGGCCUCUCUCCCCACAUCAAUUAUAGCCUAUCCCCUGUAGCGCAGGCCCCUCCGAUUUUUGACCCCAGGGGUGAGCGAGUCAGCAAGGUUAGAGGUUGUUCUCCCCACAGCUCGCCCCGGCAUCUCUCAGAAGUCUGCAGCCCUGUAGUGCAGCACUAACCGGACCGUCAGGCGGCAUCAAGACCCCUUUCAUUAGUCAACUGGGUACUCCUGUACCAAAUCAUUUUCAAGUUUGCAUAUACACAUGUUGUUUUUCCAUGAAAAAACCCACCCUAAAGACAACCAAAUGGUGUGGUGAGCGCUCUAUCAAACGGAACAAGCCAAGUAAAACACGAGUAACUCAAAUUCACGACUUUAGUAAGUUUAUACUUUCCAUCACCGCUGUAUUAUUAUCCAAUGUAAAUCUUAUCAUUGGUCGAUCUUUGUCGGGAAUCCCCAAAAGCAUCUUGUAUUUCUCAGCUCUAC